Molecule: long non-coding RNA, 741 nt
Filed under: Homo sapiens (human)
Lineage: Eukaryota; Metazoa; Chordata; Mammalia; Primates; Hominidae
Description: HSALNT0161404
Source: RNAcentral
AGGCAUCAUCAAAUCAGCUGAAGGCUGUAAAAGAAAAAAGACUGAGGUCCCCAGAGGAAGAGGAAAUUCUGCCUCCAGACUCAAGCUGCAACAUCAGCUCUUUCCUAGGUCUUUAGCCUGCUGACUUGCCCUGAAGAUCUCAGACUUAGACUUGCUAACUUUUUGCAUUGAAUCACAACACAUGAGCCAAUUCAUUAAGGAGACCACCUUCAGGCCUCACAAAAAGUACUGAAGAACUGAAACCAGAUCAUGGUAUCGAUGCUGGACCCCUCUUUCACCAUGACGGCUUCUUUACCUCUCCCAAGUUCCUGUUUUCUUACACAUUGUUACAUUUCUUGCCUGCAAUAUAAACCCCUGAUUUUAUUCAGUCAGGGAGAUGGAUGUGGGACUGAGCUUCUGUCUCCUUGGCUGUGGCACCUGAUUAAAGCCUUCUUCCUUGACAAUACUUGGCGUCUCAGUCAUUGGCUUUCUGUGCAGUAAGCAGCAGGACCUAGACCGAACCCCUGGUGUUUUAGUAGCAAUGCUACUAAAAAAGACAAGAUUGUUUUUUGUUUGCUUUCUGUAAAAAACAACAAAAGCAGAGAUAUAUAGAUGUAUACCCAUUCAAACAUUAUUUUCUGUUGAAAAGUUAAUUCAGACUUCUCAUUGACUAAUUGAAUGAUGACAAUCAUUUAAAAUAUGGCCUAUCAUAUAAUUGUUCAUGGAAAAACAUUAUUAACAGGUUGGCCUAUCUUUUUCAAG